AAUUUUGGCACCGAUUUUCUAACCAGUGUUUUCUUUUUUACCAAUGGCUUGAUAAUCUGAUAUGCUCAUUUGAAUUGCAGAGAAAGAUGGAGAAAUCAAAGACAGGCAUCUUCUCUGUGUACCUAAAGCUGUAUCCGGGUAAAUAUGAGGUAAGUUGAUUUCCGGGCAUCAACAAUUUUUUAUGCGUUGUCCAUUGAAUUAUGUAUGCUUAAAUGCCUCCUAUAAUAUUUAACAGAUCAAGUUUAUUGUUGAUGGCAUAUGGAAAGUUGAUCCUCUACGCCCCAUUGUCCACAAUAAUGGCUAUGAAAAUAACCUUCUGAUUAUCACAUGAAGGCACAAAAUUAUGCAGGCAGUAGCACGAGAAGGAUGAUCAUUUUACAAACCUUUAGUUUGCAUCAUGUAUUUUACUAAUUAUAAUUCUUUUGACAUCACCCUAUUUCUGUUCUUUGUAUAGUGUAUAUUGGCCGUGAUGGAUCAAUUGUUAUUCUUAGACCAAACUCUCAUUUGGUCUGUCUGUUACUUAUUUUUGUCGGUAUGGAUGGGUCUUGUGGUUGGGUCUCUCUUUUGCACUUGUUUUUGUUUAUUGAAACGAAAUACAAACUUAGAAGGG
Molecule: long non-coding RNA, 610 nt
Filed under: Olea europaea subsp. europaea
Lineage: Eukaryota; Viridiplantae; Streptophyta; Magnoliopsida; Lamiales; Oleaceae
Source: RNAcentral